UACGAAGGGGGGCUAGCGUUGUUCGGAAUUACUGGGCGUAAAGCGUACGUAGGCGGAUUGUUAAGUGAGGGGUGAAAUCCCGAGGCUCAACCUCGGAACUGCCUUUCAUACUGGCAAUCUUGAGUCCGGGAGAGGUGAGUGGAACUCCUAGUGUAGAGGUGAAAUUCGUAGAUAUUAGGAAGAACACCAGUGGCGAAGGCGGCUCACUGGCUCAUUACUGACGCUCAGGCGCGAUAGCGUGGGGAUCAAACAGG
Molecule: ribosomal RNA, 254 nt
Filed under: uncultured bacterium
Lineage: Bacteria
Description: partial 16S ribosomal RNA
Rfam family: Bacterial small subunit ribosomal RNA
Source: RNAcentral